UACGAAGGGGGCUAGCGUUGUUCGGAAUUACUGGGCGUAAAGCGCACGUAGGCGGACUAUUAAGUCAGGGGUGAAAUCCCGGGGCUCAACCCCGGAACUGCCUUUGAUACUGGUAGUCUCGAGUCCGGAAGAGGUGAGUGGAAUUCCGAGUGUAGAGGUGAAAUUCGUAGAUAUUCGGAGGAACACCAGUGGCGAAGGCGACUACCUGGCCUGUUCUUGACGCUGAGGCGCGAAAGCUAGGGGAGCAAACGGG
RNAcentral lists this ribosomal RNA (253 nucleotides) under uncultured bacterium. RNAcentral describes it as "partial 16S ribosomal RNA". It matches the Rfam family "Bacterial small subunit ribosomal RNA", at positions 524 to 776 of the family's 1533-position model. The record is from RNAcentral.